CCCCUUAGUAACGGCGAGCGAGCGGGAAGAGCUCAAAUUUGAAAGCUGGCGUCUUCGGCGUCCGCGUUGUAAUCUCGAGACGUGUUUUCCGUGCGGCUCUAUGGACAAGUCCCUUGGAACAGGGCAUCGUAGAGGGUGAAAAUCCCGUACUUGCCAUGGAAGUACCGUGCUUUGUGAUACACGCUCCAAGAGUCGAGUAGUUUGGGAUUGCUGCUCAAAGUGGGUGGUAGACUCCAUCUAAAGCUAAAUAUCGGGGAGAGACCGAUAGCGAACAAGUACCGUGAGGGAAAGAUGAAAAGCACUUUGGAAAGAGAGUUAAAAGUACGUGAAAUUGUCGAAAGGGAAGCACUUGAAGUCAGCCAUGCUGCUUGAGACUCAGCCUGGCUUUUGCUUGGUGUAUUUCUCGGUAGCAAGCCAGCAUUGGUUUGUGUCGUCGGAGAAGCGCAUGGGGAAUGUGGCAUCCUCGGAUGUGUUAUAGCCCUGUGCAGGAUACGACGACGUAGACCAAGGAACGCAGUGUGCCCUCUGGGCGGGUCUUCGGACACCUUCACACUUAGGAUGCUGGCGUAAUGGCUUUAAGUGGCCCGUCUUGAAACCACGGACCCC
Molecule: ribosomal RNA, 606 nt
Filed under: Malassezia arunalokei
Lineage: Eukaryota; Fungi; Basidiomycota; Malasseziomycetes; Malasseziales; Malasseziaceae
Description: eukaryotic LSU rRNA
Rfam family: Eukaryotic large subunit ribosomal RNA
Source: RNAcentral